This is a long non-coding RNA of Lucilia sericata (common green bottle fly), 723 nucleotides long. RefSeq lists it as uncharacterized. Lineage: Eukaryota; Metazoa; Arthropoda; Insecta; Diptera; Calliphoridae. The record is from RefSeq and is a predicted model, not a curated record. The transcript has 2 exons.
UCGUUUCUCAACUGGCGUCGCGAAUUUUUCUUGAAAAUAAAUAAGGCGGAUGAAAAGUUAUUUACAAUACUAGAAAUUGUGUUAAUUUUGCAAAGAAAAAAGUGAAAUUUACAUUAAUAUUUAAUACGAUUUAAAAUUCACUAAUUAAAUGGGUGUUACCAAACACCCAUAUUUAUAAUUUCAUUAAUAAAAUGCUGUUUAUAAUUCUUAAUUUGCUGCUCAAGUAAAGAAGAAGAGAGUGAGAGCGUAAAGAAAGAGGGUGGAAAUAAUUGCAGGAAAAUUUAACAAAGUUGGAUAUAUUUCAACAAAAUUUACAGAAGAAAUCAGUUUACAAAUCAAAUUUGGUCAAUUAAAAAUUCAUUAAAAUUUAAAAUAAAAAUUACCGAAAAAUAGAAGAAAAUAAAGUGAAAAUGUUUAGCUGAACAGAAAUGAAGUUAUCGGUAGCCUUGCUAAGAUAUAUACAAGUUUUUUGUAGAAGAAAAAAAGUGUCUGCUGCUGUUUGAUUCUUGUACUUUAUGUAUUAUUCAGGCGGGCGGCGGCUGCAUUGAAAAACGAUUUUAAUUCGUUACAACAGCUCAAAUAAGGAAAUAUAUAAAAAGUAAAGAAGCUGUCUGUUAUAGCUUCGUUAGCUGAAAGAGUUAACCAAGUUUCUUUUACAUCUUCUUAACCAACAAAAAAAAAAAAAAUACGAAAAAUCCUGUUUUUUAACCUUAAAAAAUUAAA